GACGAACGCUGGCGGCGUACUUAACACAUGCAAGUCGAACGGAAAGGCCCUUCGGGGUACUCGAGUGGCGAACGGGUGGGUAACACGUGGGUGAUCUGCCCUGCACUUUGGGAUAAGCCUGGGACACUGGGUCUAAUACCGAAUAGGACCACGCGCUUCAUGGUGUGUGGUUGAAAGCUUUUGCGGUGUGGGAUGGGCCCGCGGCCUAUCAGCUUGUUGGUGGAGUACUGGCCUACCAAGGCGACGACUGGUAGCCGGCCUGAGAGGGUGACCGGCCACAAUGGGACUGAGGUACGGCGCAGAAGGGUACGGGGGGCAGCGGUGGGGAGUAUGACACAAUGGGCGCAAGCCUGAGGCAGCGACGCUGCGUGAGGGAAGACGGCCUUCGGGUUAUAAACCUCUUUCAAUAGAGACGAAGCGCAAGUGACGGUACCUAUAGAAGAAGCACCGGCCAACUACGUG
Molecule: ribosomal RNA, 462 nt
Filed under: uncultured bacterium
Lineage: Bacteria
Description: partial 16S ribosomal RNA
Rfam family: Bacterial small subunit ribosomal RNA
Source: RNAcentral